This is a non-coding RNA of Pelobates cultripes (western spadefoot toad), 265 nucleotides long. NCBI's taxonomy places the organism in Eukaryota, Metazoa, Chordata, Amphibia, Anura, Pelobatidae. The record is from the annotation of a GenBank genome assembly.
GCUGCUUUCAUGAAUCUGUCUUCUCUUCAAAACUAGUUGGUUUGUGCAGAAAUCUAAGAGCUCAAACUGUGGAUAGUAAAUAUGCACAAAGUCUACACAAGAGUCUGUGUACAGUGAAUUUACAGAAAAUGUAGAAAAUCUGAAUUAAUCACAUUUGUGAAAGCGUUGUGACUACUCAGGAUUUAACACAUUUGGUGUGAUUUUCCAUUUCAGACAAGGCUGGUUUCCCUGUACACAGCUGUGGGCCCAAAUGCCAAGAUGGACU